AUAAAAUAUAAUAGUUUUGUUUGUGGAAACACCACGUAAAUUUAGUACUGCAAAAGUGCAGUAAUAAAUUUACGUGGUGUUUCCACAAACAAAACUAUUAAUGCGCUAUUUGUCUCUA
This 118-nucleotide microRNA precursor is filed under the name Paramuricea clavata. Lineage: Eukaryota; Metazoa; Cnidaria; Anthozoa; Malacalcyonacea; Plexauridae. The record is from RNAcentral.